UCUGAGAGUCUUCUCCGUCGCUCAUCACAGAGAGGGAACCGUCAAGGCACUGAGUGUCAGGGAAGAGGAGGAGCAGACAGGGGAGUCUCUGCAUUGCCUUUGGCUGGAGAACCGAGGUCAUAGGAAAAAGAAUUCGUGACAACAAAUCUCUGAAGUUGCUCCUGUCUCAGAAGGUUAUAUGUUACCAUUGUGAAAGGAUAAAUUCAUCCCUGUGGUUGGUAUUUAUGGGAAUGCAAGGUGACAGGGAGCCAACCUUGCCCUUUGGGGCCUUUAUGCCAAACAAGCCUACAUUGUCUGCAUCAAAAGGACAGAAGAUUACAGAAUAAAAACAUAGAAAAAGGAGAAAAAGGAAGAAGUAAAUGGGUGCAAAAAUAAACUUCUUUUUACUCCCUCUGACUCUGUAUGGACUUGCUAUGUGUUGGGAAGUAUCUACUUAGAAAUGCCAACUAUUUUUAGAAAAGCCUGAUAAAUCAUCACAUUCUCGAAAUCACUACUUACCAGGGAAGAUGGCAUAACAGUUGCAUUCGAUUUUCCUCGGUCUGGGGAGGAAGAGACGGUGUCUGGAAACUAAGAAGAAUCUUCAUAUAUAUUGAUUGGGCAAUAAACAAAUAG
This is a long non-coding RNA of Ailuropoda melanoleuca (giant panda), 612 nucleotides long. RefSeq lists it as uncharacterized. The record is from RefSeq and is a predicted model, not a curated record. The transcript has 5 exons. NCBI's taxonomy places the organism in Eukaryota, Metazoa, Chordata, Mammalia, Carnivora, Ursidae.